RNAcentral lists this ribosomal RNA (257 nucleotides) under uncultured Glomus. RNAcentral's name for it is "partial 18S ribosomal RNA". It matches the Rfam family "Eukaryotic small subunit ribosomal RNA", at positions 624 to 886 of the family's 1831-position model. The record is from RNAcentral. Lineage: Eukaryota; Fungi; Glomeromycota; Glomeromycetes; Glomerales; Glomeraceae.
AAGCUCGUAGUUGAAUUUCGAGACCGGUUUACUGGUCGUGCUUUUGUACGUACUGGUAUUAUUGGUUUCUCCUUUCUGACGAACUAUAAUGCCAUUAAUUUGGUGUUUUAGGGAAUCAGGACUGUUACUUUGAAAAAAUUAGAGUGUUUAAAGCAGGCUCACGCUUGAAUACAUUAGCAUGGAAUAACGGAAUAGGACGUUUGAUUCUAUUUUGUUGGUUUCUAGGAUCGACGUAAUGAUUAAUAGGGAUAGUUGGG